UGCAAGUCGAGGGGCAGCAUCAUCAAAGCUUGCUUUGAUGGAUGGCGACCGGCGCACGGGUGAGUAACACGUAUCCAACCUGCCGACAACACUGGGAUAGCCUUUCGAAAGAAAGAUUAAUACCGGAUGGCAUAGUUUUCCCGCAUGGGAUAAUUAUUAAAGAAUUUCGGUUGUCGAUGGGGAUGCGUUCCAUUAGGCAGUUGGCGGGGUAACGGCCCACCAAACCUACGAUGGAUAGGGGUUCUGAGAGGAAGGUCCCCCACAUUGGAACUGAGACACGGUCCAAACUCCUACGGGAGGCAGCAGUGAGGAAUAUUGGUCAAUGGACGAGAGUCUGAACCAGCCAAGUAGCGUGAAGGAUGACUGCCCUAUGGGUUGUAAACUUCUUUUAUACGGGAAUAAAGUGAGCCACGUGUGGCUUUUUGUAUGUACCGUACGAAUAAGGAUCGGCUAACUCCGUGCCAGCAGCCGCGGUAAUACGGAGGAUUCGAGCGUUAUCCGGAUUUAUUGGGUUUAAAGGGAGCGUAGGCGGGUUGUUAAGUCAGUUGUGAAAGUUUGCGGCUCAACCGUAAAAUUGCAGUUGAUACUGGCGACCUUGAGUGCAACAGAGGUAGGCGGAAUUCGUGGUGUAGCGGUGAAAUGCUUAGAUAUCACGAAGAACUCCGAUUGCGAAGGCAGCUUACUGGAUUGUAACUGACGCUGAUGCUCG
This 709-nucleotide ribosomal RNA is filed under the name uncultured bacterium. Its description in RNAcentral is "bacterial SSU rRNA". It matches the Rfam family "Bacterial small subunit ribosomal RNA", at positions 56 to 755 of the family's 1533-position model. The record is from RNAcentral.